CCGUCGAGGGGUUGUGGGAAAAGGUGGGGAUCUUCGGACCUAUCACCUGGAGAUGAGCCCGCGUGCCAUUAGGUAGUUGGCGGGGUAAUGGCCCACCAAGCCGAAGAUGGCUAGCUGGUCUGAGAGGAUGAUCAGCCACACUGGAACUGAGACACGGUCCAGACUCCUACGGGAGGCAGCAGUGGGGAAUAUUGCGCAAUGGGGGAAACCCUGACGCAGCAACGCCGCGUGUGUGAUGAAGGCCUUCGGGUCGUAAAGCACUGUGAGGUGGAACGAGCCGCCGGGGGCUAAUACCCUUCGGCCCGACGGUACCACCAGAGGAAGCACCGGCUAACCCUGUGCCAGCAGCCGCGGUAAUACAGGGGGUGCAAGCGUUGUUCGGAAUUAUUGGGCGUAAAGCGCGUGUAGGCGGACCAUUAAGUCUGGUGUGAAAUCCCUCGGCUUAACCGAGGACGUGCAUUGGAUACUGGUGGUCUUGAGUCCUGGAGAGGGUAGCGGAAUUCCCCAGUGUAGAGGUGAAAUUCGUAGAUAUUGGGAGGA
Molecule: ribosomal RNA, 540 nt
Filed under: uncultured bacterium
Lineage: Bacteria
Description: bacterial SSU rRNA
Rfam family: Bacterial small subunit ribosomal RNA
Source: RNAcentral